AUCCAUUUGACGAGUCUUAAAUAGGAUGAAACUCGCGUCCUAGAU
RNAcentral lists this non-coding RNA (45 nucleotides) under Schistosoma mansoni. The record is from RNAcentral. Lineage: Eukaryota; Metazoa; Platyhelminthes; Trematoda; Strigeidida; Schistosomatidae.